RNAcentral lists this non-coding RNA (213 nucleotides) under Chromera velia. The record is from RNAcentral. Lineage: Eukaryota; Chromeraceae.
AAAAGGAAAAGAGAAGAGAGAGAGAGUGCACGAGAGUCCCACUGCCACGUUUCUUUUGUUUCAUUUCUUUUGUUUUUGUUUCGACCCGACUUUUUUUUGUCGGUCGUUUCGCAUCCUUGACAACAAACUUUUCACGAAGAAAAGAAAGGCGCAUUGCGUGCCCCACAAAUGGAAAAGAAAAGAAAAGACAGGAAAGGAAUCGAUGGCUUUUGU